RNAcentral lists this transfer RNA (74 nucleotides) under Verrucomicrobia bacterium ADurb.Bin122. RNAcentral describes it as "tRNA-Gly". It matches the Rfam family "tRNA". Rfam says of the family: Transfer RNA (tRNA) molecules are approximately 80 nucleotides in length. Their secondary structure includes four short double-helical elements and three loops (D, anti-codon, and T loops). Further hydrogen bonds mediate the characteristic L-shaped molecular structure. tRNAs have two regions of fundamental functional importance: the anti-codon, which is responsible for specific mRNA codon recognition, and the 3' end, to which the tRNAs corresponding amino acid is attached (by aminoacyl-tRNA synthetases). tRNAs cope with the degeneracy of the genetic code in two manners: having more than one tRNA (with a specific anti-codon) for a particular amino acid; and 'wobble' base-pairing, i.e. permitting non-standard base-pairing at the 3rd anti-codon position. RNAcentral also lists the same sequence under 1 other name. Lineage: Bacteria; Pseudomonadati; Verrucomicrobiota. The record is from RNAcentral.
GCGGUCGUAGUUUAGUGGUAAAACCUCUGCCUUCCAAGCAGGUGUCCCGGGUUCGAUUCCCGGCGACCGCACCA